Plutella xylostella (diamondback moth) is the source of this 281-nucleotide non-coding RNA. NCBI's taxonomy places the organism in Eukaryota, Metazoa, Arthropoda, Insecta, Lepidoptera, Plutellidae. The record is from RefSeq and is a predicted model, not a curated record.
UUAUGACGUAAAUCACAGAGUACUUGGCAUAAACAUUACUUCACUUGACGUUCCAUUCUUCCUGUAUGAAUGUUUACGUUCCAUUGCGACUACAUUUUAAAGAUUCUUUUUUUCCGUUUUUCUCUUUUCUCCCAGCUUCUAAAAAUCUAGUAAUUAAUUGACUUGUGUACCUGUACAGUGUCUCUCUAAUCAUGGUACUUUCAUUACGGAACCCGUCAUUUCCAUAGUGGUACAAAACGUCCUUAGAACCCUGCCUUUGUCCUUUAAUUCGAUUUAACCAG